RNAcentral lists this ribosomal RNA (254 nucleotides) under uncultured bacterium. Its description in RNAcentral is "partial 16S ribosomal RNA". It matches the Rfam family "Bacterial small subunit ribosomal RNA", at positions 524 to 776 of the family's 1533-position model. The record is from RNAcentral.
UACGUAGGGGGCGAGCGUUGUCCGGAUUUAUUGGGCGUAAAGAGCUCGUAGGCGGCUCGGUAAGUCGGGUGUGAAACCUCCAGGCUCAACCUGGAGACGCCACUCGAUACUGCCGUGGCUAGAGUCCGGUAGAGGAGCGUAGAAUUCCUGGUGUAGCGGUGAAAUGCGCAGAUAUCAGGAGGAAUACCAGCGGCGAAGGCGGCGCUCUGGGCCGGUACUGACGCUGAGGAGCGAAAGCGUGGGGAGCAAACAGG